GAUGAAGAACGCAGCGAAAUGCGAUAAGUAGUGUGAAUUGCAGAAUUCAGUGAAUCAUCGAAUCUUUGAACGCACAUUGCGCCCCUUGGUAUUCCAUGGGGCAUGCCUGUUCGAGCGUCAUUUGUACCCUCAAGCUCUGCUUGGUGUUGGGUGUUUGUCUCGCGGUUCUGCGCAGACUCGCCUUAAAACAAUUGGCAGCCGGCUUGUUAGCCUGGAGCGCAGCACAUAUUGCGCCUCUUGCUAGCGACUGCCCGGCACCCAUCAAGCCCAUUUAUUUGCUCUUGACCUCGGAUCAGGUAGGGAUACCCGCUGAACUUAAGCAUAUCAAUAAGCGGAGGA
RNAcentral lists this unclassified non-coding RNA (339 nucleotides) under soil metagenome. RNAcentral's name for it is "partial contains 5.8S ribosomal RNA, internal transcribed spacer 2, and large subunit ribosomal RNA". The stretch from base 1 to 120 matches the Rfam family "5.8S ribosomal RNA", at positions 35 to 154 of the family's 154-position model. The record is from RNAcentral.